This 293-nucleotide ribosomal RNA is filed under the name Klebsiella pneumoniae. RNAcentral's name for it is "partial 23S ribosomal RNA". It matches the Rfam family "Bacterial large subunit ribosomal RNA", at positions 212 to 543 of the family's 2925-position model. The record is from RNAcentral. Lineage: Bacteria; Pseudomonadati; Pseudomonadota; Gammaproteobacteria; Enterobacterales; Enterobacteriaceae.
CGAGGAAAAGAAAUCAACCGAGAUUCCCCCAGUAGCGGCGAGCGAACGGGGAGCAGCCCAGAGUCUGAAUCAGCUUGUGUGUUAGUGGAACGGUCUGGAAAGUCCGACGGUACAGGGUGAUAGUCCCGUACACCAAAAUGCACAGGUUGUGAACUCGAAGAGUAGGGCGGGACACGUGGUAUCCUGUCUGAAUAUGGGGGGACCAUCCUCCAAGGCUAAAUACUCCUGACUGACCGAUAGUGAACCAGUACCGUGAGGGAAAGGCGAAAAGAACCCCGGCGAGGGGAGUGAAA